AGCGCGGGGUAGAGCAGUUUGGUAGCUCGCAAGGCUCAUAACCUUGAGGUCACGGGUUCAAAUCCUGUCUCCGCA
RNAcentral lists this transfer RNA (75 nucleotides) under Panax quinquefolius. RNAcentral describes it as "tRNA-Met". It matches the Rfam family "tRNA". From Rfam's summary of the family: Transfer RNA (tRNA) molecules are approximately 80 nucleotides in length. Their secondary structure includes four short double-helical elements and three loops (D, anti-codon, and T loops). Further hydrogen bonds mediate the characteristic L-shaped molecular structure. tRNAs have two regions of fundamental functional importance: the anti-codon, which is responsible for specific mRNA codon recognition, and the 3' end, to which the tRNAs corresponding amino acid is attached (by aminoacyl-tRNA synthetases). tRNAs cope with the degeneracy of the genetic code in two manners: having more than one tRNA (with a specific anti-codon) for a particular amino acid; and 'wobble' base-pairing, i.e. permitting non-standard base-pairing at the 3rd anti-codon position. The record is from RNAcentral. Lineage: Eukaryota; Viridiplantae; Streptophyta; Magnoliopsida; Apiales; Araliaceae.